RNAcentral lists this ribosomal RNA (497 nucleotides) under uncultured bacterium. RNAcentral's name for it is "partial 16S ribosomal RNA". It matches the Rfam family "Bacterial small subunit ribosomal RNA", at positions 28 to 507 of the family's 1533-position model. The record is from RNAcentral.
GAUGAACGCUGGCGGCGUGCCUAAUACAUGCAAGUCGAGCGAACAGGUGAGGAGCUUGCUCCUCUGACGUUAGCGGCGGACGGGUGAGUAACACGUGGAUAACCUACCUAUAAGACUGGGAUAACUUCGGGAAACCGGAGCUAAUACCGGAUAAUAUAUUGAACCGCAUGGUUCAAUAGUGAAAGACGGUUUUGCUGUCACUUAUAGAUGGAUCCGCGCCGCAUUAGCUAGUUGGUAAGGUAACGGCUUACCAAGGCAACGAUGCGUAGCCGACCUGAGAGGGUGAUCGGCCACACUGGAACUGAGACACGGUCCAGACUCCUACGGGAGGCAGCAGUAGGGAAUCUUCCGCAAUGGGCGAAAGCCUGACGGAGCAACGCCGCGUGAGUGAUGAAGGUCUUCGGAUCGUAAAACUCUGUUAUUAGGGAAGAACAAAUGUGUAAGUAACUAUGCACGUCUUGACGGUACCUAAUCAGAAAGCCACGGCUAACUACGUG